GGGACAAGCCCUGGAAACGGGGUCUAAUACCGGAUGAUACUUCCACUCGCAUGGGUGGGGGUUGAAAGCUCCGGCGGUGAAGGAUGAGCCCGCGGCCUAUCAGCUUGUUGGUGAGGUAGUGGCUCACCAAGGCGACGACGGGUAGCCGGCCUGAGAGGGCGACCGGCCACACUGGGACUGAGACACGGCCCAGACUCCUACGGGAGGCAGCAGUGGGGAAUAUUGCACAAUGGGCGAAAGCCUGAUGCAGCGACGCCGCGUGAGGGAUGACGGCCUUCGGGUUGUAAACCUCUUUCAGCAGGGAAGAAGCGAAAGUGACGGUACCUGCAGAAGAAGCGCCGGCUAACUACGUGCCAGCAGCCGCGGUAAUACGUAGGGCGCAAGCGUUGUCCGGAAUUAUUGGGCGUAAAGAGCUCGUAGGCGGUCUGUCGCGUCGGAUGUGAAAGCCCGGGGCUUAACCCCGGGUCUGCAUUCGAUACGGGCAGACUAGAGUGUGGUAGGGGAGAUCGGAAUUCCUGGUGUAGCGGUGAAAUGCGCAGAUAUCAGGAGGAACACCGGUGGCGAAGGCGGAUCUCUGGGCCAUUACUGACGCUGAGGAGCGAAAGCGUGGGGAGCGAACAGGAUUAGAUACCCUGGUAGUCCACGCCGUAAACGGUGGGAACUAGGUGUUGGCGACAUUCCACGUCGUCGGUGCCGCAGCUAACGCAUUAAGUUCCCCGCCU
Molecule: ribosomal RNA, 722 nt
Filed under: Actinomycetes bacterium
Lineage: Bacteria; Bacillati; Actinomycetota; Actinomycetes
Description: bacterial SSU rRNA
Rfam family: Bacterial small subunit ribosomal RNA
Source: RNAcentral